RNAcentral lists this long non-coding RNA (436 nucleotides) under Homo sapiens (human). Its description in RNAcentral is "HSALNT0038661". The record is from RNAcentral. Lineage: Eukaryota; Metazoa; Chordata; Mammalia; Primates; Hominidae.
CGGACACUGAGUUUUCACCUGGGUGAAGAAACACACAUGGGAGAGGCAAGGAAGGCCCCUUGGGGCUUUGGAUGGAAAGAUACAUUGGUUCUCCACGAUUGUUUAAAGCCUCUUCAGCAGAUCAUGAAAAGAGACAGUCUGCAGAUGAAUGAGAACAGGUGUGUUGGGGGUGAAACGGCAAAGUACUGGAUGAAAGCCUGGAUUAGACAGACCCCAGAUGCACCACUGGCCUUCCCUGCCCCCCGGUAACCUGACCUGGCAUCUAAAUCCAAUCCCAUUCCCUGCUGUUGCAUUUAUAUUGGAAGAGAAUUGGGAGAUAUUUGGUAAAUAAAGUUAUCUUUAUUGCUAAAAGACUGUGGAGGGGCUCAGUGGCCACCAGGAGCUUUGGAGGUCCUCCUGCAUAGUAGAUGCUCUUCAAGUAUUUGUUGGUUUUUUU